UAUGAAUGUGUUGAAUGUGGGAAAAAAUAUACACAUUCAUGUACUCUUCAGAAACACAUGCGGAUUCACAGUGGAAUCAAACCUCAUGAAUGUGUUGAAUGUGGGAAAAGAUUUACACAUUCAAGUAAUUUGCAGACACACAUGAGGAUUCACAGUGGAAUCAAGCCUUAUGAAUGUGUUGAAUGUGGGAAAAAAUUUACACAAUUAAGUAAUUUGCAGACACACAUGAGGAUUCACAGUGGAAUCAAGCCCUAUGAAUGUGUUGAAUGUGGGAAAAAAUUUAUACAAUCAAGUAAUUUGCAGAGACACAUGAGGAUUCACAGAUGAUUCAGUUGAUGAGGUCUACACUGCACAUGGUGCUAGAAGACCAAAUUAUUUUAACUUUGGAAGAGGAACGAGUGGUUAUCAAGGGUUUAGGAACAGUCAUGGAUAUAAUCGUGGUGGUAAUAAUGCGUGCUUUACAGGAAGGAGAAAGGAUCAAAGGGACAUGAAUAUGACUGGAAGAGAUGGUCGCUCACUUGGGUGUUUGUUUGCGGUUCCUAUCGACAUUUAGUUCGUGACUGUCCACUUAAGUUUGAAAAGACAGCAAUGAUGGUAGAAGAGGUAGAGGAUGUUGAACUUGUAAACAUUGUGUUGUAUACAGGAGGUUUGAAAGACAAUAUGAGAACUCUAAGUAAAGAAGCACAACAUGCCAUAGUACUGGAUUCUGCAUGCUCGAGCACUGUUUGUGGGCAGGAAUGGAUGGACAUACCUAAUGACAUUGGAAUAAGAACAGAUGAAACAAGUGAAAUCACAGCCAGGGGAAAAGGUUUUCAAGUUUGGUGGAGUAAACACCAUAACAUCCACAGAGUAAAGAUGGAAGUUGAAGCAAUCCACAGAAUGUUUUCUCUGUCACUGAAACAAAUGCAAAAGGGGUUUGCUGAAAACAGGAGAUCUAACAAGAAUAUGUUUUAUUGACACCCGGAAACUGGUGAUCUCAUGAAAGAACCCAUCAUUGGAACCUUGAAAUAAGUGGUCUCAAGAAAGAACCCGUUAUUGGAACCUUGAAAUAGGUGGUCUUAUGAAAGAACCUGUUAUUGAAACCCUGGAAACAGAUGGUUUGGUGAACCUGAAAACCAUAGUAGUCCAACAAUGCAGUCUCAUAAACAUGUUGUGAGAGCUCGGAAACAUUUUCUAAAUCGGGUGACCUUAAAAGGCACAAGCUCUGUAUACAUUCAGACAAUCUUCAGAAACACAUGAAGACUCACAGUGGAAUGAAGCCUCAUAAGUGCAUUGUGUGUGAGAAAACAUUUACACAAUCAGUUCAUCUGCAGGCACACAUGAAGAUUCACAGUGGAAUCAAGUCUUAUGAAUGUGUUGAAUGUGGCAAAA
RNAcentral lists this long non-coding RNA (1371 nucleotides) under Haliotis rubra (blacklip abalone). Its description in RNAcentral is "uncharacterized LOC124253091, transcript variant X1". Lineage: Eukaryota; Metazoa; Mollusca; Gastropoda; Lepetellida; Haliotidae. The record is from RNAcentral.